GACGAACGCUGGCGGCGUGCUUAACACAUGCAAGUCGUACGGUAAGGCCCUUUCGGGGGUACCCGAGUGGCGAACGGGUGAGUAACACGUGAGUAACCUGCCCACAACUUUGGGAUAACGCUAGGAAACUGGUGCUAAUACUGGAUAUGUGCUCCUGCUGCAUGGUGGGGGUUGGAAAGCUCCGGCGGUUGUGGGUGGACUCGCGGCCUAUCCGCUUGUUGGUGGGGUAGUGGCCUACCAAGGCGGCGACGGGUAGCCGGACUGAGAGGGUGACCGGCCACAUUGAGACUGAGAUACGGCCCAGACUCCGACGGGAGGCAGAAGUGGGGAAGAUUGCACAAUGGGCGCAAGCCUGAUGCAGCAACGCCGCGUGCGGGAUGACGGCCUUCGGGUUGUAAACCGCGUUCAGCAGGGACGAAGCUUUUUGUGACGGUACCUGCAGAAGAAGCACCGGCUAACUACGUG
RNAcentral lists this ribosomal RNA (465 nucleotides) under uncultured bacterium. Its description in RNAcentral is "partial 16S ribosomal RNA". It matches the Rfam family "Bacterial small subunit ribosomal RNA", at positions 28 to 507 of the family's 1533-position model. The record is from RNAcentral.